UCCCAUAAACCGUGGCUCAGUUCAGAUCGUAGGCUGCAACUCGCCUACGUGAAGGCGGAAUCGCUAGUAAUCGCAGGUCAGCAUACUGCGGUGAAUACGUUCCCGGGCCUUGUACACACCGCCCGUCACACCAUGGAAGUCGGCCACGCCCGAAGCCGUUACUCCAACCCUUGUGGAGGAGGACGUCGAAGGUGGGGCUGAUGACUGGGGUGAAGUCGUAACAAGGUAUCCGUACCGGAAGGUGCGGAUGGAUCACCUCCUAA
RNAcentral lists this ribosomal RNA (263 nucleotides) under uncultured Synechococcus sp. RNAcentral's name for it is "partial 16S ribosomal RNA". It matches the Rfam family "Bacterial small subunit ribosomal RNA", at positions 1272 to 1533 of the family's 1533-position model. Lineage: Bacteria; Bacillati; Cyanobacteriota; Cyanophyceae; Synechococcales; Synechococcaceae. The record is from RNAcentral.